GCGCCCAACCCUUAUGUCUCUGCCAUCGUUCCUCCAUCCCAAAUCCGCUGGAAAUCACCCAAAUUUCGGCAGUCAACAUAAGCCACACUCCCCCUCACCCUCCUCUCUCUUCAUCCAUGUGGCCUGACACAACCAUUUUUAUACGACCCUGAAUAUUUCCCUCAUUCUCACGUGAUGGAAGCCUCUAGAAGGGAUAUUCUGGAUGAGUAGGGAGUGUGGGAUCAAUUCUUAUUGAUCCUAGCCCUUCAUUCAUCAUGUUUAUCCCUUAUAAGUAGAGGACAAUUUUGAAGAACAAGGGGGUUCCGGAGUCGGAUUUUCAGAGAGAGAGAUUUUUUGACGAAGAGAGCUAGGUGUUCUUUCUCUGAUUUUGUCAAAAAGAGGUUUUCAUUUCUGUUUCUGUUUUUCGAUUUUCACAUUCUAAAAAAUCUCUUAUAUUUGUAGUUUCAAAAUUGGUGUCCGUUUGAAUUCUGGUUGCUGUUUGUAAUUCGAGUCCACAUAUCCUGAAUCACUCAUCAUUGUUUCACUCAUUCCUGGUUGAGUUUUUCGAUAUCAAAUUAAUCGAAAGUAUUUUUUCAUAUUCAGGAGCACCUCUUUUUUUUAUUUUUUUUAUUUUGUUGUUAUUGCUUAAUUUUGUUUGUCGUGGAAUGAGACAAGGUAUUUGUUCAUAGCUUAUUAUGACUGAUUUACUGCUUU
RNAcentral lists this long non-coding RNA (693 nucleotides) under Nicotiana benthamiana. RNAcentral describes it as "long non-coding RNA (NBEN_LNC004397)". The record is from RNAcentral. Lineage: Eukaryota; Viridiplantae; Streptophyta; Magnoliopsida; Solanales; Solanaceae.